Long non-coding RNA from Lontra canadensis (Northern American river otter), 325 nucleotides. RefSeq lists it as uncharacterized. The record is from RefSeq and is a predicted model, not a curated record. The transcript has 3 exons. NCBI's taxonomy places the organism in Eukaryota, Metazoa, Chordata, Mammalia, Carnivora, Mustelidae.
CCUAGGCCCUGGGGGCAGAUGGUCCUUCAUUCCCAGUCCGGACUAGACCUUUCCACAGCCUCCGUGCCCGUCAAAGCCUGAAGAGAUUUCAUCAACAUUCUCAAAAUUGUGUGUUGGACCACCUGACCGGACUCUAGACCCCCAGAGACAGAUCUGCCCACAGACCCACCCCUUGCUGUCUGUUCAAGGUGAAGAAACUGAGACAGGAGGAGUUGAGCCAUGGGCCCAGGACUAUCUCUGACUAGACAAGUGGGAGAUGCUUGGGGACAGCUGUCUUCUUCUAGAUGUUUGCCCUGGGGGAACACACACAAGAGUUGUCACAAAU